Molecule: ribosomal RNA, 406 nt
Filed under: uncultured bacterium
Lineage: Bacteria
Description: partial 16S ribosomal RNA
Rfam family: Bacterial small subunit ribosomal RNA
Source: RNAcentral
AUUGAACGCUGGCGGCAGGCCUAACACAUGCAAGUCGACCGAGUGGCGGACGGGUGAGUAAUGUCUGGGAAACUGCCCGAUGGAGGGGGAUAACUACUGGAAACGGUAGCUAAUAACGCAUACCAUCGGAUGUGCCCAGAUGGGAUUAACUAGUAGGUGGGGUAACCGCUCACCUAGGCGACGAUCCCUAGCUGUUCUGAGAGGAUGACCAGCCACACUGGAACUGAGACACGGGCCAGACGCCUACUGGAGGCAGCAGGGGGGUAUAGUGCACAAUGGGCGCAAGCCUGUUGCAGCCAUGCCGCGUGGAUGAAGAAGGCCUUCGGGUUGUAAAGUACUUUCAGCGGGGAGGCUGUACCCGCAGAAGAAGCACCGGCAAACUCCGUGCCAGCAGCCGCGGUAAUAC